This 293-nucleotide ribosomal RNA is filed under the name uncultured eukaryote. RNAcentral describes it as "partial 18S ribosomal RNA". It matches the Rfam family "Eukaryotic small subunit ribosomal RNA", at positions 6 to 298 of the family's 1831-position model. The record is from RNAcentral.
GGUUGAUCCUGCCAGUAGUCAUAUGCUUGUCUCAAAGAUUAAGCCAUGCAUGUCUAAGUAUAAACAUCUUUAUACAGUGAAACUGCGUACAGCUCAUUAUAUCAGUAAUUAUUUAUUUGAUGGUACCUUACUACAUGGAUACCCGUAGUAAUUCUAGAGCUAAUACAUGCGUAAAACCCCGACUGCAAGGAAGGGGUGUAUUUAUUAGAUAAAAAAUCAAUGCAGGCAACUGCUUCAUUGGUGAUUCAUAGUAACUGAUCGAAUCGCAUGGCUCUAAGCUGGCGAUAGUUCAU